UACAGAGGGUGCAAGCGUUGUUCGGAAUUAUUGGGCGUAAAGCGCGUGUAGGCGGCUUUGCAAGUCGGGUGUGAAAUCCCUCAGCUCAACUGAGGAAGUGCGCCCGAAACUGCGGAGCUUGAGUACCGGAGAGGAUGGCGGAAUUCCCCAAGUAGAGGUGAAAUUCGUAGAUAUGGGGAGGAACACCGGUGGCGAAGGCGGCCAUCUGGACGGAUACUGACGCUGAGACGCGAAAGCGUGGGGAGCAAAACGG
RNAcentral lists this ribosomal RNA (253 nucleotides) under uncultured bacterium. RNAcentral describes it as "partial 16S ribosomal RNA". It matches the Rfam family "Bacterial small subunit ribosomal RNA", at positions 524 to 776 of the family's 1533-position model. The record is from RNAcentral.